AUAACCUUCUUGUAAUCAUCUGUCUGUCUUAUCAUUGUCAAUUUCGAAUCCCCCUCCUUAUCUUGUUUAUUUAUUGAAAUUUUCGACGGAUCGCAAGGAGUAUCCGGAGAGAGAUAGAUUAUCGCUGACAUUUGAAAGAGAACAGCGGACCUUCUUAGUCUACGUUCAGUUCGCCGCGAGGGCGAGUAGCGUGACGUCGAACUGCAGGCAUCUUAUAACGUAACGGCGGCUUGUGAAAGAACGAUUGAUCGUGCCUAGGGUAUAAAUAUGAUGACGCGCUCUAAGUUUGUGUCGCGCAGCACGUGCACGUCCCGCCCACGCGAGCACCACUAUUUCUGGCGUGAGAAAUUCUAUUGGGGCGAAUAAAAGGGUCGGUGCUUACGUCCUCGGCGGACGUCGCAUCGGCGGCGGCGAAGGAAACGCGCUCUCGCUCCGUGGGACUUUCAGGAGUUUCAGGUUCAAGUAUACCGGGUGUAGGACGGGGGAGGGGAGAUUGCAUUCUUGGGAACGCGAAGACCUCAGGGUGUUGUCGCCGCGCCACACCGCGUGGGACACGAAAUACCAGAACGAAAAGGGAACGUCGCGUCGAGCCGUGACGAGCGAGUGCUAAAUUACGCGCCGAGCGAACGAAUGUUCUAAUUCGCCAAGGACAAACGAAGGAGUUUUACAAGGAAGGAAAGGGCUGGAUCAAUUUACUCGAGGGCAAAAGCGUGCCGUAGCUAAAUGCAGCGCAAACAGGCAUUCUUCCCCCUUCUCCACAGCAACAACGGAAUCCGUGUCGAUCUCUUCGGUGGAGCAAGGUGCGCUUUGCAAUUCCGAGCGUUCGCUCGCUCGAUGCGCGACAGGUACGGAACACACUGUCGUUGCGUAUCGCGUCCUCGUUAAAUACCUGCGUUGCAUUCCGACGCUGAGACAGAGAGCAGAGGAAAAAAUGCGAGAAAAAGAGAAGCUGGCGAGAGAGCAGUGGAAAAAACAUUAUUACGAUCGCAGUAAUCGUGGUACCACAAAUGAAGUAUAGUACUCUUUAAAGAGGUUUACGACGCCCCGUAAUUCUUAUUCUUUCGUAAUAUUCUUUCGUGCUCGCGUCCGACCGAUGGAAAAACGUACACGAGGCCAUCUCGCAGCCCGGACUAUUUUCCAUCUACUUUCCCGUAUUAUGCAAGUCCACGCGAGUGAAACAGCGGGAGACGUGGCGGGACGGGCGAUCUCGGCGUGCCGCAAUUUGCGCAAUAAACCGCACCGGUGACGAUGUCAUCGGGCAGCACCAUUCCGCCGUCGUGUAUCGGCAGAACGUAGCCGAUCGCCACCACCACCGUCGUGUACACAUUGCGUGUAGUGGCGUGCACGUGUCGGGAAGGGUGAACGCGUGGUCGCGCGCGUGACUCCGCGCGGCCGAGGCGUGCCCUUCUCUCGAUCACGUGGAAUGUAACGCGGUCCGAACGUUCUCCCCCUCACCUCCCCCUCAGCCCCCACCUACCUGCUCCUGCUCGCUCCGUGCUCCGUAUAGUAUAGAGCGCUCUUCUCGCGGUGCACCGUCACGAUUCUCAUGAUUGCCUUCCUUUCCUCCCGCAGUUUCCAACGACCUGCAGCGGUGGACCGCAACAACGAAAGACUAGGACAUGGUUGCGGAAAAACUGAAACCUGAUCGGCAUUAAUGACGUUAACUUCUUCCCAAUGAGUACCUUUCCUUUUGUUGUACUUUAGUUCUAGAGAUACACGAUGGACAAAGUAAUUUUUAUAUAAAAAAGAAAUAUGAUUUUAUAUUAGUACCUGCACCUUGUAUAAUUAAAUACACUAUAGUUGACUAGCACAAAUGAAAGACAAUGUAUUCUGAAAAAA
RNAcentral lists this long non-coding RNA (1839 nucleotides) under Acromyrmex echinatior (Panamanian leafcutter ant). RNAcentral describes it as "uncharacterized LOC105148668, transcript variant X2". Lineage: Eukaryota; Metazoa; Arthropoda; Insecta; Hymenoptera; Formicidae. The record is from RNAcentral.